Helianthus annuus (common sunflower) is the source of this 3164-nucleotide RNA transcript. It is a transcript of the gene named protein ENHANCED DISEASE RESISTANCE 2, with no coding region annotated. The record is from RefSeq and is a predicted model, not a curated record. The transcript has 25 exons. NCBI's taxonomy places the organism in Eukaryota, Viridiplantae, Streptophyta, Magnoliopsida, Asterales, Asteraceae.
AAAAAAAACAAAGAUCUCCAUUCUCUAAAGUAGUCAUGAGUCAAUGCCACCAAAAUAAGACAACAAUAUCAAAGUUUGUGAAACUUGAAAAAGACUAGACGGAUUUUUCAUUUUCUCAUUUUUUUUUAUUUUUCCAGUUGGCCUACUUCAAUCUUUCAAAUUUUUAUCAAUUUUAAAAUUCAACAAUUUAGUCAGAAUUCUCCUGCCGUUGAUGAUCCCACUGUUUCUCUCUCAUCACUCUCUCUCUAAAACAAUACCACCGGCACCAAUUCUACCUGCCGGCCAACAUCCCUCUCUCUCUACACUCACCGGAAAAUCUCACCGAUCACAUCUUCAUUCUCUCCUAUUUCUCACACCGGUUCAAUCUACGCGAUUGAAUCGGUGAAGUUAAGAUUUGUUACAUCGGUGUGGUGGAUUUAGGUUUUUGAAGUGAGUUUGUUCACUUUGUUGAGAUUGAUUGACUGAUUUUGACUUUUGGAAGUUGAAUUAGGGUUUCUAGGGUUAAUGAGUGAUUGAUUUGGUGAGGAUUGACUGAUUUUGACUUUUGGAAGUUGAAUUAGGGUUUCUAGGGUUAAUGAGUGGUUGAUUUUGGUGAGGAUAUUGAGAUGUCGAAUUCGAAAGUGGUGUAUGAAGGAUGGAUGGUGAGAUAUGGGAGGAGGAAGAUUGGAAGAUCGUUUAUACAUAUGAGGUAUUUUGUUCUUGAGUCAAGGUUGCUUGCUUAUUACAAGAGGAAGCCUCAAGAUAAUGUGGUUCCGAUUAAAACGCUGGUUAUUGAUGGCAACUGUAGAGUUGAGGACAGAGGGUUGAAGACUCAGCAUGGACAUAUGGUUUAUGUUUUAUCGAUUUACAACAAGAAGGAGAAAUACCAUCGGAUUACGAUGGCAGCUUUUAACAUCCAGGAGGCACUUAUCUGGAAAGAAAAAAUUGAGUCUGUUAUUGAUCAGCAUCAGGAGUCACUAGUUGCCAAUGGGAAUAAAUACGUUUCUUUUGAAUAUAAGUCUGGGAUGGAUAGUGGAAGAAAUGCUUCUUCAUCAGAUCAAGAAAGCCAGUACAGUGCAGCUGAAGAUGAAGAAGAUUCACGGCCAAGUUUGAUGCGAAGAACAACCAUUGGAAAUGGCCCUCCUGAAUCUAUUCUGGACUGGACCCAAGAAAGUUCAACAUUGGCAAGCCAGAAUACCAACAAUCAAGCAUUUUCAAGGAAACAUUGGCGGCUUCUUCAAUGCCAAAAUGGACUUCGUAUCUUCGAAGAGCUUCUAGAAGUUGACUUCCUUCCAAAGAGCUGUAGUAGGGCUAUGAAGGCUGUUGGUGUUGUGGAAGCCAGCUGUGAAGAAAUAUUUGAGCUUGUAAUGAGCAUGGAUGGAACACGCUCUGAGUGGGAUUGUAGUUUUCAAGAUGGUAGCUUGGUUGAGGAGGUUGAUGGACAUACAGCAAUUCUAUAUCACCGGCUUCAGCUCGAUUGGUUCCCCACAUUUGUGUGGCCACGCGACCUUUGUUAUGUACGGUAUUGGCGCCGAAAUGAUGACGGGAGUUAUGUUGUACUAUUUUGCUCAAGGGAGCAUGAGAACUGUGGUCCACAACCUGGAUAUGUGCGCGCUCAUAUUGAGAGUGGAGGGUUUAAUAUUUCGCCUUUGAAACCCCGAAAUGGACGGCCCAGGACACAGGUUCAGCAUCUUAUGCAAAUUGAUUUAAAGGGAUGGGGUGUGGGUUAUGUUUCAUCGUUUCAGCAACAUUGCUUGCUACAGAUGUUAAAUAGUGUUGCUGGCCUGCGGGAAUAUUUUGCUCAAACUGAUGAAAGGAUUGCUCCACCUAGAAUUCCUGUUAUGGUUAAUAUGGCAUCGCGUUCUGUCCCUACAAAAAAGUCACAAAAGAUCAAUUUGACAUCUGUUCAUAAUCGAAGUCAAUCUCUUGAUAAUGCUGCGAAAAUGAUGGAUGAAUACUCAGAUGAAGAUGAAGAUUUCCAAAUCCCUGAUGAAGAGGCGUAUGCCAUUGAGCAGGAGACCAAACGCACCGCCUUUGAAGAAGAACCUGUUGUUGAAAUUGAUUUAUCUCUUUUUUCGGGUAAUCUUCGGCGAGAUGAUAACGAAAAUAGCCGUGAUUGUUGGAGAAUUUCUGAUGGAAACAAUUUUAAACUUCGUAGCAAGCGCUUUUGCUAUGAUAAGUCGAAGAUGCCUGGAGGCAAACCGCUUAUGGAUCUUGUUGCUGUUGACUGGUUUAAAGAUACCAAGCGAAUGGACCAUGUUGCUAGACGCCCGGGUUGUGCCGCACAAGUUGCCUCUCAAAAAGGACAUUUUUGCUUAGUGUUUAAUCUUCAGGUACCUGGUUCAACCAACUACAGCAUGGUUUUCUACUUUGUGACCAAGGAAUUAGCAGAGGGCUCUCUCUUGCAACGGUUUGUUGAUGGUGAUGAUGAGUUUCGCAAUAGUAGGAUGAAACUCAUACCAUCAGUCCCUAAGGGGUCCUGGAUAGUGAGGCAGAGUGUUGGAAGCACUCCUUGUCUUUUGGGAAAAGCGGUUGACUGCAACUAUAUCCGUGGUGCCAAUUACUUAGAAGUUGAUGUGGACAUUGGUUCUUCUACUGUGGCUAAUGGAGUCUUGGGUCUUGUAGUUGGUGUUAUCACUAGCCUCGUGGUUGACAUGGCUUUCCUUGUACAGGCAAACACAACCGAUGAAUUGCCAGAGCGACUUAUAGGUGCUGUUAGAGUUUCCCAUCUAGAGCUAAAGUCUGCAAUUGUUCCCAAAUUGGAACCAGAUCCAGAACCAUAAACUGAUUUGCUUUAACGCGGUACAUAAAGAUUGUCCUGAAAUCUAGCAGCAACAGACUUGCAGGCCAGCAGCAAACUGAGUGGACAAUGUAAAGUAAUUACUUUAAAGAUAAUGAACAUCAGAAGCUGGAACAUGACUUUUGCUUUCAUAGACCAAAUUCAUUUCAAUACUUUCAAGAUACACUUGUAAGUGCUGACAGUUUUCUUACCUUGCGUGACCGCCCCCAGCCACACACACACCCAGAAAAGGUUAGUCUUGAACUUUAUAGGUUUUGAUCCAUUUCUGUAUGAAAAUAAUAAUGAAUCUGAAAUUUGUAUUUAUUUAUACCACACUCGGUACAUAGCUGUGAAAGUUAGUAGAUCAAAAGUUCUUGACUCGUUAGAAUGUUGAGAAAGUUCAUCA